This 492-nucleotide ribosomal RNA is filed under the name uncultured bacterium. RNAcentral's name for it is "partial 16S ribosomal RNA". It matches the Rfam family "Bacterial small subunit ribosomal RNA", at positions 29 to 507 of the family's 1533-position model. The record is from RNAcentral.
AGUGAACGCUGGCGGUAGGCCUAAUACAUGCAAGUCGAACGGCAGCACAGUAAGAGCUUGCUCUUACGGGUGGCGAGUGGCGGACGGGUGAGGAAUACAUCGGAAUCUACUUUUUCGUGGGGGAUAACGUAGGGAAACUUACGCUAAUACAGCAUAGGACCUACGGGUGAAAGCAGGGGAUCUUCGGACCUUGCGCGAUUGACUGAGCUGAUGUCGGAUUAGCCAGUUGGCGGGCUAAAGGCCCACCAAGGCGACGAUCCUUAGCUGGUCUGAGAGGAGGAUCAGCCACACUGGAACUGGGACACGGUCCAGACUCCUACGGGAGGCGGCAGUGGGGAAUAUUGGACAAUGGGCGCAAGCCUGAUCCAGCCAUACCGCGUGGGUGAAGAAGGCCUUCGGGUGGUAAAGCCCUUUUGUUGGGAAAGAAAAGCAGCAGGUUAAUACCCCGCUGUUCUGACGGUACCCUAAGAAUAAGCACCGGCUAACUACGUG